AUUGAACGCUGGCGGCAGGCCUAACACAUGCAAGUCGAGCGAGUGGCGGACGGGUGAGUAAUGCUUGGGAAUCUGCCCUAUAGAGGGGGAUAACUACUGGAAACUGUAGCUAAUACCGCGUACCAUCGGAUGAGCCCAAGUGGGAUUAGGUAGUUGGUGGGGUAAAGGCUCACCCAGGCGACGAUCUCUAGCUGGUCUGAGAGGAUGACCAGCCACACUGGGACUGAGACACGGUCCAGCCUCCUACGGGAGGCAGCAGUGGGGAAGAUUGCGCAAUGGGGGCAAGCUGAGGCAGCCAUGCCGCGUGAAUGAAGAAGGCCUUCGGGUUGUAAAGUGCUUUCGGCGGCGAAGCGUUGACCACAGAAGAAGCACCGGCUAACUCCGUGCCAGCAGCCGCGGUAAUAC
RNAcentral lists this ribosomal RNA (405 nucleotides) under uncultured bacterium. RNAcentral's name for it is "partial 16S ribosomal RNA". It matches the Rfam family "Bacterial small subunit ribosomal RNA", at positions 30 to 526 of the family's 1533-position model. The record is from RNAcentral.